AUGUAUGCUAUGAAACAGCGGAAUAAAAAACCUGGGUUCACUCCCUCCCCUGUCCCUGUGACCGGUAUCCGGUCUUACCUUUUUCCCAGAGAUAUGGGAUUGCCUCUUUUAUGGCUUCCUGCUGCAACUACUAGGAGACUGGCAGAGUCCGGGGUGAGAGGUUUGAUUCAGGGCGUCGGUAGGGCUUGCCUUAGUGAAAAGUAG
Non-coding RNA from Vicia faba (fava bean), 204 nucleotides. The record is from the annotation of a GenBank genome assembly. Lineage: Eukaryota; Viridiplantae; Streptophyta; Magnoliopsida; Fabales; Fabaceae.